RNAcentral lists this unclassified non-coding RNA (598 nucleotides) under Leptobacillium leptobactrum var. calidius. RNAcentral's name for it is "sequence contains 18S rRNA gene, ITS1, 5.8S rRNA gene, ITS2, 28S rRNA gene". The stretch from base 196 to 349 matches the Rfam family "5.8S ribosomal RNA". Lineage: Eukaryota; Fungi; Ascomycota; Sordariomycetes; Hypocreales; Cordycipitaceae. The record is from RNAcentral.
GGAAGUAAAAGUCGUAACAAGGUCUCCGUUGGUGAACCAGCGGAGGGAUCAUUAUCGAGUUAUUCAACUCCCAAACCCUAUGUGAACUUACCACUUGUUGCUUCGGCGCGCGCUUCGGCGCCGCCGAGGACACUUAAACUCUUUGUUUUUAUAAGCAUUUCUGAGUGGCCGCAAGGCAAAAUACAAAUGAAUCAAAACUUUCAACAACGGAUCUCUUGGUUCUGGCAUCGAUGAAGAACGCAGCGAAAUGCGAUAAGUAAUGUGAAUUGCAGAAUUCAGUGAAUCAUCGAAUCUUUGAACGCACAUUGCGCCCGCCAGCAUUCUGGCGGGCAUGCCUGUUCGAGCGUCAUUUCAACCCUCGAGCCCGACUUUUCGAAGGACGGCUCGGCGUUGAGGGACGGCAGACUCCCCCCGGCUUCUCGCCGGGGACGCCGCCCUCGAAAUCUAGUGGCGGCCCUCCGAGGCGACCUCUGCGUAGUAAUUUAUUCUCGCACCGGAAAGCUCAGAGCGGCCACGCCGUAAAACCCCAACUUUUUUCAGGUUGACCUCGAAUCAGGUAGGACUACCCGCUGAACCUAAGCAUAUCAAUAAGCGGAGG